RNAcentral lists this ribosomal RNA (254 nucleotides) under uncultured bacterium. RNAcentral describes it as "partial 16S ribosomal RNA". It matches the Rfam family "Bacterial small subunit ribosomal RNA", at positions 524 to 776 of the family's 1533-position model. The record is from RNAcentral.
UACGGGGGGGGCAAGCGUUGUUCGGAAUUACUGGGCGUAAAGGGUUUGUAGGUGGCUUGUUAAGUCAGACGUGAAAUCCCUCAGCUUAACUGGGGAACUGCGUCUGAUACUGGCGAGCUUGAGUGCAGGAGAGGAACGCGGAAUUCCAGGUGUAGCGGUGAAAUGCGUAGAUAUCUGGAGGAACACCGGUGGCGAAGGCGGCAUCCUGGACCACGACUGACGCUGAGUGAGCGAAAGCCAGGGGAGCAAACGGG